RNAcentral lists this ribosomal RNA (429 nucleotides) under Chloroflexota bacterium. Its description in RNAcentral is "Chloroflexi bacterium partial 16S ribosomal RNA". It matches the Rfam family "Bacterial small subunit ribosomal RNA", at positions 355 to 776 of the family's 1533-position model. Lineage: Bacteria; Bacillati; Chloroflexota. The record is from RNAcentral.
UGGGGAAUAUUGCACAAUGGGCGCAAGCCUGAUGCAGCCAUGCCGCGUGUAUGAAGAAGGCCUUCGGGUUGUAAAGUACUUUCAGCGGGUAGGAAGGGAGUAAAGUUAAUACCUUUACUCAUUGACGUUACCCGCAGAAGAAGCACCGGCUAACUCCGUGCCAGCAGCCGCGGUAAUACGGAUGGUUCAAGCGUUAAUCGGAAUUACUGGGCGUAAAGCGCACGCAGGCGGUCUGUUAAGUCAGAUGUGAAAUCCCCGGGCUCAACCUGGGAUCUGCAUCUGAUACUGGCAAGCUUGAGUCUCGUAGAGGGGGGUAGACUUCCAGGUGUGGCGGUGAAAUGCGUAGAGAUCUGGAGGAAUCCCGGUGACGAAGGCGGCCCCCUGAACGAAGACUGACGCUCAGGUGCGAAAGCGUGGGGAGCAAACAGG